GCUGGCGGAAGAGAUCGUACCCAAAAUCCUGCACCAUUACAGCACCAGCUCCCAGGCGCUGGGACUAAACGCCAGGCAGAUGGACACAGCCCUUACUCUGCGCUUCAUUGAGAGCAUCUCCGCAGUCAGCCUGGCCGUCCAGAGGAGCGGGGAAUCCCAGCCGCACGAGCUUCCCCACAAACAGGUGCUGCUCAGCCAGCUGCUGGAGAUCAUUAAGGCCGAGCCACGGAGCUCCCUGCUCUCUCCAGUUCGCCAGGAGGCAAUGGUGGCCAUCGGGCAGCUGAG
Trachemys scripta elegans is the source of this 285-nucleotide long non-coding RNA. RefSeq lists it as uncharacterized. Lineage: Eukaryota; Metazoa; Chordata; Testudines; Emydidae. The transcript is spliced from 4 exons. The record is from RefSeq and is a predicted model, not a curated record.